This 274-nucleotide ribosomal RNA is filed under the name uncultured bacterium. Its description in RNAcentral is "partial 16S ribosomal RNA". It matches the Rfam family "Bacterial small subunit ribosomal RNA", at positions 523 to 796 of the family's 1533-position model. The record is from RNAcentral.
AUACAGAGGGUGCGAGCGUUAAUCGGAAUUACUGGGCGUAAAGCGCGCGUAGGCGGCUUAUUAAGUCAGAUGUGAAAUCCCCGGGCUCAACCUGGGAACUGCAUCUGAUACUGGUAAGCUAGAGUUUUAGAGAGGGAAGUAGAAUUUCAGGUGUAGCGGUGAAAUGCAUAGAGAUCUGAAGGAAUACCAGUGGCGAAGGCGACUUCCUGGCCAAAAACUGACGCUGAGGUGCGAAAGCGUGGGUAGCAAACGGAAUUAGAAACCCGAGUAGUCC